UACAGAGGUUGCAAGCGUUGUUCGGAAUUACUGGGCGUAAAGCGCACGUAGGCGGUCCGUUAAGUCAUGUGUGAAAUCCCCCGGCUCAACCGGGGAAUUGCGCCUGAUACUGGCGGGCUAGAGGUCGAUAGGGGUGAGCGGAACUCCAGGUGGAGCGGUGAAAUGCGUAGAUAUCUGGAGGAACACCGGUGGCGAAAGCGGCUCACUGGAUCGAAACUGACGCUGAGGUGCGAAAGCUAGGGUAGCAAACGGG
Molecule: ribosomal RNA, 253 nt
Filed under: uncultured bacterium
Lineage: Bacteria
Description: partial 16S ribosomal RNA
Rfam family: Bacterial small subunit ribosomal RNA
Source: RNAcentral